This 253-nucleotide ribosomal RNA is filed under the name uncultured bacterium. RNAcentral's name for it is "partial 16S ribosomal RNA". It matches the Rfam family "Bacterial small subunit ribosomal RNA", at positions 524 to 776 of the family's 1533-position model. The record is from RNAcentral.
UACGGAGGGUGCAAGCGUUAUCCGGAUUCACUGGGUUUAAAGGGUGCGUAGGCGGGCAAGUAAGUCAGUGGUGAAAUCUCCAGGCUUAACCUGGAAACUGCCAUUGAUACUAUUUGUCUUGAAUUACGUGGAGGUGAGCGGAAUAUGUCAUGUAGCGGUGAAAUGCUUAGAUAUGACAUAGAACACCAAUUGCGAAGGCAGCUCACUACACGUUGAUUGACGCUGAGGCACGAAAGCGUGGGGAUCAAACAGG